AGUGAACGCUGGCGGUAGGCCUAACACAUGCAAGUCGAACGGCAGCACAGUAAGAGCUUGCUCUUACGGGUGGCGAGUGGCGGACGGGUGAGGAAUACAUCGGAAUCUACUUUUUCGUGGGGGAUAACGUAGGGAAACUUACGCUAAUACCGCAUACGACCUACGGGUGAAAGCAGGGGAUCUUCGGACCUUGCGCGAUUGAAUGAGCCGAUGUCGGAUUAGCUAGUUGGCGGGGUAAAGGCCCACCAAGGCGACGAUCCGUAGCUGGUCUGAGAGGAUGAUCAGCCACACUGGAACUGAGACACGGUCCAGACUCCUACGGGAGGCAGCAGUGGGGAGUAUUGGACAAUGGGCGCAAGCCUGAUCCAGCCAUACCGCGUGGGUGAAGAAGGCCUUCGGGCUGUAAAGCUCUUUUGUUGGGAAAGAAAAGCAGCAGGUUAAUACCCCGCUGUUCUGACGGUACCCAAAGAAUAAGCACCGGCUAACUUCGUG
RNAcentral lists this ribosomal RNA (492 nucleotides) under uncultured bacterium. Its description in RNAcentral is "partial 16S ribosomal RNA". It matches the Rfam family "Bacterial small subunit ribosomal RNA", at positions 29 to 507 of the family's 1533-position model. The record is from RNAcentral.